GACGAACGCUGGCGGCGUGCUUAACACAUGCAAGUCGAACGGAAAGGCCCUGCUUUUGUGGGGUGCUCGAGUGGCGAACGGGUGAGUAACACGUGAGUAACCUGCCCUUGACUUUGGGAUAACUUCAGGAAACUGGGGCUAAUACCGGAUAGGAGCUCCUGCUGCAUGGUGGGGGUUGGAAAGUUUCGGCGGUUGGGGAUGGACUCGCGGCUUAUCAGCUUGUUGGUGGGGUAGUGGCUUACCAAGGCUUUGACGGGUAGCCGGCCUGAGAGGGUGACCGGCCACAUUGGGACUGCGAUACGGCCCAGAAUCCUACGGGAGGCAGCAGUGGGGAACAUUGCACAAUGGGCGGAAGCCUGAUGCAGCGGCGCCGCGUGCGGGAUGACGGGCUUCGGGUUGUAAACCGCUUUCGCCUGUGACGAAGCGUGAGUGACGGUAAUGGGUAAAGAAGCACCGGCUAACUACGUG
This 468-nucleotide ribosomal RNA is filed under the name uncultured bacterium. RNAcentral describes it as "partial 16S ribosomal RNA". It matches the Rfam family "Bacterial small subunit ribosomal RNA", at positions 28 to 507 of the family's 1533-position model. The record is from RNAcentral.